Molecule: non-coding RNA, 23 nt
Filed under: Cricetulus griseus (Chinese hamster)
Lineage: Eukaryota; Metazoa; Chordata; Mammalia; Rodentia; Cricetidae
Source: RNAcentral
UGGCAUUUAGGACUGAACGCUAC